Molecule: long non-coding RNA, 726 nt
Organism: Homo sapiens (human)
Lineage: Eukaryota; Metazoa; Chordata; Mammalia; Primates; Hominidae
Source: Ensembl
GCACUCAUUCUCCAAGCCCACAUGUGAUCCGAUUCAUCCAGUACACCAAGUGUCCAGGGACAUCUAGAUGAUAGAAGUUCCUUCAGAUGGGUCCCUGGUGUGAGGGUGUCCUGUAUCAGACUGCCUAUUGAAGUUCAACCUGUGGUUCAAGACAGGAUCUCAUUCAGAAUACUACUUUCAUUCAGGCUGGAGUGCAGUGGCAUGAUCUUAGCUCUCUGCAACUUCCGCCUCCUGGGCUCAAGCGAUUCUCCUGUCUCAGGCUCCGGAGUAGCUGGGACUACAGGCAUGCGCCACAACACCAGGGAAAAAAACAAACCAACCAACAAACUGAGCCUGAAACUGAUAACACAGAUACGUACAGCAUCAUAUUUAAGUAACCAAUCGGAAUUAUUGCAGUGGAGAUGUUUUAUUGGUGGGAAAUACGGUAUCACACCAUUUCAGACAUCAGGAGAUAAUUAUCCCUGUCUUCUCGGAACCAGCUUCUUCAAAGGAGUCAGGAAUUAUUUAUGAUAGAAACUACUGAAACAAUACUAAGGAGUUCAUAGGUUGCUGAGAAGGUAGCUUCCUGCCCUCUGCUUGAGGAACACGGAUGGAAGAAAGGAGAAGAUCUGGUCAACACAGCUCCUGAAAUGCUGAUUAAGCAUUAUGGGAUUUAAGGUUUCCUGGCCAAGUCUGAGCUAAAAUGUUAACACUCCUGAAGAACACCAUAAAGAAAGAAAAACAAAA